GUUCCCUUCGGGGGGCGAGUAUAGCGGCGAACGGGUGAGUAACACGUAGGUAACCUACCCCGGCGUCUGGGAUAACCUGUCGAAAGGCGGACUAAUACCAGAUAAGACCACGGGGGCCUCGGCCCCUGAGGUAAAAGAUGGCCUCUGCUUGCAUGCUAUCGCUCCGAGAUGGGCCUGCGCGCCAUUAGCUUGUUGGUGAGGUAACGGCUCACCAAGGCGGAGAUGGCUAGCUGGUCUGAGAGGAUGACCAGCCACACUGGGACUGAGACACGGCCCAGACUCCUACGGGAGGCAGCAGUGGGGAAUCUUGCGCAAUGGGCGAAAGCCUGACGCAGCGACGCCGUGUGGGUGAUGAAGGCCUUUGGGUCGUAAAGCCCUGUCAGAGGGGACGAAAUCUUGUCGACCUAAUACGUCGGUGACUUGACGGUACCCUCAGAGGAAGCACCGGCUAACUCCGUGCCAGCAGCCGCGGUAAUACGGAGGGUGCAAGCGUUGUUCGGAAUUACUGGGCGUAAAGCGCGUGUAGGCGGCCUUUUAAGUCUGAUGUGAAAGCCCGAGGCUCACCCUCGGA
This 571-nucleotide ribosomal RNA is filed under the name uncultured bacterium. RNAcentral describes it as "bacterial SSU rRNA". It matches the Rfam family "Bacterial small subunit ribosomal RNA", at positions 73 to 619 of the family's 1533-position model. The record is from RNAcentral.